AUGGAGUUUUUUGAUAACGUUAAUGGUGGAUGCCUUGGCAAUUUGAGCCGAAGAAGGACGUGUGUGUAAGCACGAUAUCGUCGAUGAGCCCGUAAGCAGGCAUUUUAAUCGGCGGUUUCCGAAUGGGACAACCCCUUUCUGUGUAAACAGAGAGAUCCCCCGCCUUUGGCGGGAGGAAGGCAACCCGGUGAACUGACACAUCUUAGUAACCGGAGGAAAAUAAAACAAAAAUAGUGAUUCCGUCAGUAGCGGCGAGCGAAAGCGGAGAAGUCUAAACCCUGAAGUAGAGCGCAAGCUCUCACUUCAGGGGGUUGCGGGACCUUGCAUACGGUUUGUUUUUGAUAGGAGAACACGGUGGAAAACGUGAUCAUAGAGAGUGAUAAUCUCGUAUCCGAAAUCGAAAACAAGCUCGCGAGGAUUCCCAAGUACCACGAGCCACGGAAAAUCUUGUGGGAAUCUGGGGCGGUCAUGCUCCAAGACUAAAUACUCAAAUUGACCGAUAGUGAACUAGUACCGUGAGGGAAAGGUGAAAAGUCCCCCUGUGAGGGGAGUGAAAUAGUACCUGAAACCAUUAACUAACAAACAGACAGAGUCCCGCCAUUGGCGGGAUAAUGUCGUGCCUAUUGAAGAAUGAGCCAGCGAGUUUUCAAUAUCUGCCGUAAUAGGUUAACCAAUUAAUUUGGGAAGCCGUAGCGAAAGCGAGUCUUAAUUAGGGCGUGAUCAUGCUUAAUUGCAUAAUCAGGUAGAUGUUGGAAGACCCGAAACUGGGUGAGCUAACCAUGGACAGGGUGAGUCCCGCCGAAAGGUGGGAGGAGGCCCGAACUCUUCGUCGGCGAAAUGACGUGAGAUGAUCUGUGGUUAGGGGCAAUAUGCCAAUCGAACCCAGAGAUAGCUGGUUCUCCCCGAAAUAUAUUUAGGUAUAGCCUCGUAUCAAUCUUUCCAGGGGUAGAGCUACUGGAUUUCCUCUCUAGGCCGUAAGGCCUGGUGGGGACAACCAAACUCCAAAUACUGUGGAAGUUAGGAUACGGGAGUCAGACCUGCUCGGAUAAGCGAGUGUGGUCAAAAGGGAAACAACCCAGAUUCCCAUCUAAGGUCUUUAAGUAAUUAUUAAGUGGUAAAGGUAGUUGAGUUUCAAAGACAGACGGGAGGUUGGCUCAGAAGCAGCCAUCCUUUAAAGAGUGCGUAACAGCUCACCGUAAUAUGCCGCCCUCGGGCGCGCAUGAGGCUUGGCGCCGAAAAUGAUUCGAGUCUCAAAUAAUUCACCGAAGAUGGAAACCGUCCCGCAUUGCGGGACGAGUGGUAGGGGAGCUUUCUUUUUGCAGUGAAGCCCAGGUGUAAACCGAGGUGGAGCGGAAAGAAGUGAGGAUGCUGGCAUGAGUAGCGAUUCUGUGGGUGAAAAUCCCGCAUGCCGAAUGUUCAAGGUUUCCUCAGCAACGUAAAUCGACUGAGGGUUAGUCGGAUCUAACCGCGGCGUCCGAUAUGGGCGACGGGGGAUGUACAAGACGUCAAUAUUCGUCUACUUUUUUAUAUGCGUUAUUACUUUGUAGAUGACGAGGUAUGAGCACCCAGGUUAUGCGCAAGCGUAGCUUAAAUAGUAAGUCCUAAUUCAUUUUAGGGCAAGCUAUGAUGAAUACGGUUUGUCUUUAGGGGCAAAUUGUAGCUGGAAUGUUUACAUCUCCGGGAAAAGACUACAUAAGGAGUGUAUAGAAAAUCCGUACCGUAAACCGACACAGGUGAACUGGUCGAGAAGACUAAGGCAAUCGAGUAAGGAUGGUUCAAGGAAUUCGGCAAACAAUCUGGACGUAACUUAGGGAGAUGUCCUGUCCCGCCUCAGGCGGGAUUACAACAAAAGAUUUUCAUCUAACUGUUUAUCUAAAACACAGGUCCCUGCAAACCCGUAAGGGGAAGUAUAGGGGCUGAGGCCUGUCCAGUGCUGGUAAGUUAAAAAUUGGGGUUGAAGUCGCCUUCGGGUGAUCAGGCUCUGAUUUAAGCUCCAGUGAACGACAGCGGUAACUCUGACCGUUCUAAGGUAGCGUAAUCCCUUGCCGGGUAAGUUCCGGCCCGCAUGAAAGGCUUAAUAAGAUGAAAACUGUCUUGAACCAUUGCUCGGCGAAAUUGAAAUGGCUGUGAAGAUGCGGCCUACCUGCACCUGGACAAAAAGACCCCGGGAGCUUUACUGAACCUUGGCAUAGAAGCGAGAAUUUUAAUUGUUUAGCGUAGGAGGGAGACUUCGGUCGUCAAUGAAACACCUCUCUUUGGAAUUUUCAAAUCUUAUUCCGCCUUAAGGCGGAAGACUGUGUCAGGCGGUCAGUUUAACUGGGGCGGUUUCCUCCAAAAGCGUAACGGAGGAGUGCAAAGGUCAACUUAUCCCGCAUAGAAAUCGGGAUGUACGUGUAAACGCAUAAGUUGGCUUAACUGUGAGGCAUACAAGCCGAGCAGAUUCGAAAGAAGGCGUUAGUGAUCCCCCGAUCAUUCAUGAUUGAUGACGGGGCUUAACGGAUAAAAGCUACCCCGGGGAUAACAGGCUAGUCUCCCCUAAGCGUUCAUAGCGACGGGGAGGUUCGGCACCUCGAUGUCGGCUCAUCGCAUCCUGGAGCUGUAGUAGGUUCCAAGGGUUGGUCUGUUCGCCCAUUAAAGCGGUACGCGAGCUGGGUUCAGAACGUCGUGAGACAGUUCGGACUCUAUCCGGUGCAGGCGGUUUGAUUCUUGAGGGGACCCCUUUCUAGUACGAGAGGACCGAAAGCGGGGGAAUCCCUGGUGUACCAGUUGUCGCAAAACGGCAUCGCUGGGUAGCUACAUUCCUAUUUGAUAAGUACUGAAAGCAUCUCAAGUACGAAGCAAACCCCAAGAUAAGGAAUCUUUAAAAUCCCCCGGGAGAUUACCGGGUCGAUAGGCGAUAGGUGUACGCGGCGUAAGCCGUUUAGCCAAGUCGUACUAAUGGAUACAAAAUUACAUAU
This is a non-coding RNA of Candidatus Roizmanbacteria bacterium, 2957 nucleotides long. Lineage: Bacteria; Candidatus Roizmaniibacteriota. The record is from Rfam.